AGAUGGCGACCGGCGCACGGGUGAGUAACACGUAUCCAACCUGCCGAUAACUCGGGGAUAGCCUUUCGAAAGAAAGAUUAAUACCCGAUGGCAUAAUAGAACCCCAUGGUUUGAUUAUUAAAGAAUUUCGGUUAUCGAUGGGGAUGCGUUCCAUUAGGCAGUUGGUGAGGUAACGGCUCACCAAACCUUCGAUGGAUAGGGGUUCUGAGAGGAAGGUCCCCCACAUUGGAACUGAGACACGGUCCAA
RNAcentral lists this ribosomal RNA (247 nucleotides) under uncultured bacterium. RNAcentral's name for it is "partial 16S ribosomal RNA". It matches the Rfam family "Bacterial small subunit ribosomal RNA", at positions 86 to 334 of the family's 1533-position model. The record is from RNAcentral.